This 526-nucleotide long non-coding RNA is filed under the name Manacus vitellinus (golden-collared manakin). Its description in RNAcentral is "lncRNA (ENSMVIG00005012941.1)". Lineage: Eukaryota; Metazoa; Chordata; Aves; Passeriformes; Pipridae. The record is from RNAcentral.
CGGGAAGAGGUGCGGCAAUGUUUCGUCUUCGCGCAAAAUCGGGGCUGUUCUCGGGCAGGGUGGGCUGGAGGCCGUCAGCUGGAUGGUUUGGGUGAAAGGCUUGCUCGGCUGGUUUCCACUUUCCGUGAUGUGGCAAUAGUACUCUGCGCAUGCCUGGGCUGUUGCUAGGGGGUCUCUUCUGCCUCCCGGUGGUCGUCGAGGCUGAAGUAAGACGUCUUCCUCGGGUGUCCUCUUUCUGCCCUUUGGCUCUAGUGAGAAUAUUCCAGGGACAAGUCAUUCUGCUACAAGUCAUGACUUGUAGGACAAGUCAUUCUGCUGACUUCUCCCAGCCCAACUGUUUAAAACACAGCGUGCACACGUAGGAGGAAGCUGAAGGUACAGCUGAAGAUCUGUAGACUUAGAGAAGGUAAGAGUUUGUAAUUUGGCCAUUGUGAUGUCUAACUUUUUGGUCUGGUGUUUGUAUAAAGGCAAAUUAUUUUCUUUGUGAGGUCAAGAGAGCUUUCUUUCAGUGAGUUCUGAAGAGAAU